Molecule: ribosomal RNA, 549 nt
Filed under: Triticum aestivum (bread wheat)
Lineage: Eukaryota; Viridiplantae; Streptophyta; Magnoliopsida; Poales; Poaceae
Description: partial small subunit ribosomal RNA
Source: RNAcentral
AUGGAGCUGCUCAGCGCCCGCCGGGUAAAAACGUUUCGGCACGUCCGGGGGGAGGAGGUGAGGCGCCUCGUCGCCGCCACCACAGCGGGUGCUGGCGAGCCCGUCAACGUCAGCAAACGGCUCGCCGUGCUCAUUGCGGACAUGACCGUGCGCGCCUUGAUCGGGGACAGGUUCAGCAGGCGGGAAGAGUUCCUGAUGGUGCUCCAGCAGGGGGUCAGGAUCCUCUCUGGGUUUAACCUCGGCGACCUCUUCCCCUCAUUCCAGCUCGUCGGCUUCGUCAGCGGCUCCGCCCCACGGGCAUGGGAGAAUCACACCAAGAGCUUCGAGCUCAUUGAGUGCGCCAUCAAGCAACACCAGGAGGUGAAGGCCGCCGCCACAGCGUCCAACGGCAACGGCAAGGAGGAGGAGCAGGAGGACCUAUCGAACGUGCUCCUGAGGAUACAGAAGGAAGGUGGCCACGACGUGCCUUUUACCAUGGGAGACAUCAAAAGUCUAUUAGUGGACUUGUUUACUACUGGGAGCGAGACGUCGGCAACGACGCUCAUCUAG